RNAcentral lists this ribosomal RNA (253 nucleotides) under uncultured bacterium. RNAcentral describes it as "partial 16S ribosomal RNA". It matches the Rfam family "Bacterial small subunit ribosomal RNA", at positions 524 to 776 of the family's 1533-position model. The record is from RNAcentral.
UACGUAGGGUGCGAGCGUUAAUCGGAAUUACUGGGCGUAAAGCGUGCGCAGGCGGUUGUGCAAGACAGAUGUGAAAUCCCCGGGCUCAACCUGGGAAUUGCAUUUGUGACUGUACGGCUAGAGUGUGUCAGAGGGGGGUAGAAUUCCACGUGUAGCAGUGAAAUGCGUAGAGAUGUGGAGGAACACCGAUGGCGAAGGCAGCCCCCUGGGUCAAGAUUGACGCUCAUGCACGAAAGCGUGGGGAGCAAACAGG